Molecule: long non-coding RNA, 2779 nt
Organism: Felis catus (domestic cat)
Lineage: Eukaryota; Metazoa; Chordata; Mammalia; Carnivora; Felidae
Exons: 2
Source: RefSeq, a predicted model, not a curated record
UUUAAGAGAAUAAUGGGAAUAAUUUAACUCAUUGGGAGUUCUAUUGAAUGCUUACUAUUUAUUUGGAGGGUUAAAUGAGAUUUCGGGAUGAGUCUUCCACAUGCACUUGAACUUAUUCAGAAAAUUCAAAAGGAUCCUAGAAUAGCCUUUGCAGUGAUAAAUGACUUUUGAUGUCGUCGACUUGGUGAAGACGAGGUUGAGAGUGAAGUCUUCAUGUGAGACCUCUAGAAAUUGCACACUAAGAAAAAGAAACUGGUGCAAAUAAAGGAAAUCCGUUUCAAGAACCAAAAGAAGAAAAAAACGUUAAAAAAAUUAACUGCGGAAACAGGAAACACUCGACUGUGUAAACAUUUUCGGAGACUUUCAUAAUCAAAACUGGGCGAUCUUGAGAUUUGCAAGGAGACCCACAGGCUCAAGUCUCAGGUAUCAACCAGAAGAAGUUGCUGACGACCCAUUUACUGACGAUUUUCGAGGUCUAUUGGCAAAGGAAGAUUGGUGGUUACCGCUGGGGCUGCUGCUGGUUCCGUUCAUAGUACUGGAAAUGUGAGGAAACUGAGGGUGAGGAGACUGAACUGGAGUGCUGGGGCUAGGCAAACAAGAAGAGGUGGAGGGGAUACCUCCUGCUGGGCUGUUGGCCUUGUCACUCCCAGAGUCACUUUCCAGUUCUCCAGCAUUUGUCAGUCCAUCUCUCUGGUGACUGAUCUUCAUUCUUUUACAAGUAGGUCGAACUCUGUAUUUCAAAGGAAGCGGACCAUUCUACAAAGUUAAAAGGAAAAAAAAAAAAAUCAGUCCUCUUUAAAUACGGUUUACCACAAUAAUCUUCAAGUAUUAGAUAUGCUACUUACCCUUCUCCAGGUGUAAAUGUAGGCAAUAUCCAUUAGUGUAUAGUAAUCCUUUAAAGGUUCCUCUUCAUACAUGACAUCGAUCUAUUGAAAAAUGAUACUUCAAUUAUUAAGUACCAUAAAGAACAAAGGUAAAUCCAGAUUUUCUUUGUCAUCUAAAUACAAUCCAAAAAUGCUUCAAAAGACAUUCUCUCCAAACACUUGGACAAAGAAAGACUCCCCCUUGAAACUUUAAAAGGAAAAGAGGAGAAAUAUUUCCUGAAAUUAUGAAGGAAUUUAUAUUCAUAGCAUAAAACAAAAUUCAGACUAAACACUUUAAGAGAUAGUUCCAAUUAAGUCCUGUAUUUAAAAAAAAAAAUCCACAUUAAAUGCACCAAGACUAUAAGGCAGAUACCUGGAAAGUAUUAGGUAUGUCCAUUUUACUUCUGAGAAACUUUCUUAGGUGCAUCACAGUCAUUGCUGCUGGGCAACGUAAAUAUCUCUUAUCAUUCACCUAAGAAUACAGUUAGAAAAGUUGUUUCUUAAAAUUCUUUUCAGCUAAGAAAAAAGUUUUAAUUAGAUUGCCUCAAUAUGAUAAAAGGUAUGAAUACCAAAGCUGAGACUGACUAUAUUUUCAACUACACUUUGAGUUUACUAUUGUUGAUACUAAAUAAACAGAUUCCUGACACAGUAAGAAAACUUUAAAUAAAACAAAGCAUUAAGCAUUAAUUCUUUAAAGCAUUUUGUAAGAAUAGUAACUACAUACGAAAUAAAUUCUAUCUAGUUACUAUCAGAUAUAAAUCACUCUUAAACAUCAAAUAUGAUCAUUUUCUCCCAUUUGACAGCAUCAUCUGGCCCUAGAAUAUUCUAAAGCACAGCAUACACCCUCAUAAAGUCUAGAAGCCAAAUGCUGUUUCUUCUAUAGGUUUUUGUGACAUGAAACAUACCUCCUCCUUAGGUUUCUCCUUGUCUUUGUUUACUUUCCGAUCCAAUCUAAGAAACAUAACUUUAUUAGUGGAACAAUGUACCCAUGAAAGGAUUAGCAUAAAACCCAUUUCCUACGAAAUUUACCUGUUCUGGUCGAAGAAUUCAAUGGAUAAGCUUAUUAUCUCAUCAUCAGUUAUAAUUCUUUUAUCUUCAUCUGCAACUUCUCCUCUAUCUUCGUUAGAGCCAUUGGCAGCUAUGAAGACAUUUUGAAACUCAAUUUUAGAAAAUUAAAUAUGUAAUUAAAAUAUUACGUAGGAAGAUGGAAGUGGUACUUUAAAUUAAACUCAAUUUUAAUAAAUUACUGAAUAAUGAGUUCUCCCUCCAAAUAAAAUGUCUUUUCCCUUCUAAAGAUUUUACCAUCAGCUGAAGGAUGAGCUGCAUAAAAAUCCCUUCUUCUUUUCAUUUCAUCUAGAGGAGGAAAAAGAAAGUCUUAAACAUUUGUUAUAGUAGAUAAAACAGAUAAAUACUUUGUAAAAACUCAUUUGUAACCAAGUUACUCACUUUUGAAAAGCCCUGGAACUAAUUUGUAUACAAUAUCUUGGAGAGUUUUAUCUGACCUGAAAAAGAAUUAGAAAAGUAAAUUCUUAAUUAUAAUGGCAAAAACCUUAGAUGCUCAUAUCAGUUACUAUACAUUCUUCGUUUUCUUUCUCCUAUAGUAUCUUACUUGAUUGUGAGAGUCUCCAUCAGUAAGAUAACAAUUAUGAGAAUAAAAUUUCUUUAGGUAGUAGUACUCUUCAAUCAAUAGAAAAAUACUUUUAUUUUAUAUUCAUUAAUUCUUCACAUUUCAUGGAGUCAAGAGAAGUGUGCCUUUCAAGUUAUUAAAUUAGCUAAUAGGAAAGAGAAUAAAGAGAAAAGAAUGGAAGUAUUUUAAACACACUCAUUCCUGCUUGUCAUGAAGUCAAUAAAGCAAUGCAGAAAUGGAGAACGAAUUCAGAUUUUUAAAGAUGUGUAAAUAAAAACCUUAAAAUCCA